GACGAACGCUGGCGGCGUGCUUAACACAUGCAAGUCGAACGGAAAGGCCCUGCUUUUGUGCGGUUCUCGAGUGGCGAACGGGUGAGUAACACGUGAGUAACCUGCCCUUGACUUUGGGAUAACUUCAGGUAACUGGGGCUAAUCCCAGAUAGGAGCUCCUGCUGCAUGGUGGGCGUUGGAACGUUUCGGCGGUCGCGGAUGGACUCGCGGGUUACCAGCUUGUUGGUUGGCGAGUGGCUUACCAAGGCUUUGACGGGUAGCCGGCCUGGGAGGGUGACCGGCGACCUUGGGACUGAGGGACGGACCAGACUGGUACGGGGGGCAGCGGUGGGGAGUAUUACACAGUGGGCGGAAGCCUGAUGCAGAAACGCCGCGUGCGGGAAGACGGCCUGCGGGUUGUAAACCGCUUUCGCCUGUGACGAAGCGUGAGUGACGGUAAUGGGUAAAGAAGCACCGGCUAACUACGUG
This 468-nucleotide ribosomal RNA is filed under the name uncultured bacterium. Its description in RNAcentral is "partial 16S ribosomal RNA". It matches the Rfam family "Bacterial small subunit ribosomal RNA", at positions 28 to 507 of the family's 1533-position model. The record is from RNAcentral.